ACUCCUACGGGAGGCAGCAGUGGGGAAUUUUGGACAAUGGGGGAAACCCUUAUCCAGCCAUGCCGUGUGAGUGAAGAAGGCCUUCGGGUUGUAAAGCUCUUUCAGCCGGAACGAAACGGUCACGGCUAAUACCUGUGAUCACUGACGGUACCGGAAGAAGAAGCACCGGCUAACUACGUGCCAGCAGCCGCGGUAAU
This 197-nucleotide ribosomal RNA is filed under the name uncultured Nitrosospira sp. RNAcentral describes it as "partial 16S ribosomal RNA". It matches the Rfam family "Bacterial small subunit ribosomal RNA", at positions 335 to 524 of the family's 1533-position model. The record is from RNAcentral. Lineage: Bacteria; Pseudomonadati; Pseudomonadota; Betaproteobacteria; Nitrosomonadales; Nitrosomonadaceae.